UGAGGUGUAUGAGCGUCUGGUCGAUGAUCAAUGGCCACACAACCCCCAUUUUUGUCGAAAAUAGCCAUGAACGACCAUUUUCAAUAAUACCGAAGGCUAACACCUACGGAUUUUUACCAAGAAAUGGUCUCCACCAGAAAUCCAAGAAUGUGAUCUAUGGCAAGGAAACAUAUGUGGGGUGAGGUGUAUGAGCCUCUAGUCGAUGAUCAAUGGCCACACAACCCCCAUUUUUGUCGAAAAUAGCCAUGAAUGACCAUUUUCAAAAAUACCAAAGGCUAACACGUACGGAUUUUUAACCAAGAAAUGGUCUCCACCAGAAAUCCAAGAAUGUGAUCUAUGGCAAGGAAACAUAUGUGGGGUGAGGUGUAUGAGCCUCUGGUCGAUGAUCAAUGGCCACACAACCCCCAUUUUUGUCGAAAAUAGCCAUGAACGACCAUUUUCAAUAAUAUCGAAGGCUAACACCUACGGAUUUUUGACCAAGAAAUGGUCUCCACCAGAAAUCCAAGAAUGUGAUCUACGACAAGGAAACAUAUGUGGGGUGAGGUGUAUGAGCCUCUGGUCGACGAUCAAUGGCCACACAACCCCCAUUUUGCCGAAAAUAGCCAUGAAUGACCAUUUUCAAUAAUAUCGAAGGCUAACACCUACGGAUUUUUGACCAAGAAAUGGUCUCCACCAGAAAUCCAAGAAUGUGAUCUACGACAAGGAAACAUAUGUGGGGUGAGGUGUAUGAGCCUCUGGUCGACGAUCAAUGGCCACACAACCCCCAUUUUGCCGAAAAUAGCCAUGAAUGACCAUUUUCAAUAAUACCGAAGGCUAACACGUACGAGUUUUUAACCAAGAAAUGGUUUCCACCAGAAAUCCAAGAAUGUAAUCUAUGGCAAGAAACAUAUGUGGGGUGAGGUUUAUGAGCCUCUAGUCGAUGAUAAAUGGCCACACAACCCCAUUUUUUAUGAAAAUAGCCAUGAGCGACCUUGAAAAUAGCCAUGAGCGACCAUUUUCAAUAAUACUAGAGGCUAACACCUACGGAUUUUAGACCAAGAAAUGGUCUCCACCAGAAAUCCAAGAAUGUGAUCUAUGGCAAGGAAACAUAUGUGGGGUGAGGUGUAUGAGCGUCUGGUCGAUGAUCAAUGGCCACACAACCCCCAUUUUUGUCGAAAAUAGCCAUGAACGACCAUUUUCAAUAAUACCGAAGGCUAACACCUACGGAUUUUUGACCAAGAAAUGGUCUCCACCAGAAAUCCAAGAAUGUGAUCUAUGGCAAGGAAACAUAUGUGGGGUGAGGUGUAUGAGCCUCUAGUCGAUGAUCAAUGGCCACACAACCCCCAUUUUUGUCGAAAAUAGCCAUGAAUGACCAUUUUCAAAAAUACCAAAGGCUAACACGUACGGAUUUUUAACCAAGAAAUGGUCUCCACCAGAAAUCCAAGAAUGUGAUCUAUGGCAAGGAAACAUAUGUGGGGUGAGGUGUACGAGCCUCUGGUCGAUGAUCAAUGGCCACACAACCCCCAUUUUGCCGAAAAUAGCCAUGAAUGACCAUUUUCAAUAAUACCGAAGGCUAACACGUACGAGUUUUUAACCAAGAAAUGGUCUCCACCAGAAAUCCAAGAAUGUGAUCUAUGGCAAGGAAACAUAUGUGGGGUGAGGUGUAUGAGCGUCUGGUCGAUGAUCAAUGGCCACACAACCCCCAUUUUUGUCGAAAAUAGCCAUGAACGACCAUUUUCAAUAAUACCGAAGGCUAACACCUACGGAUUUUUGACCAAGAAAUGGUCUCCACCAGAAAUCCAAGAAUGUGAUCUAUGGCAAGGAAACAUAUGUGGGGUGAGGUGUAUGAGCCUCUGGUCGACGAUCAAUGGCCACACAACCCCAUUUUUGUCGAAAAUAGCCAUGAACGACCAUUUUCAAUAAUACGAAGGCUAACACCUACGGAUUUUUGACCAAGAAAUGGUCUCCACCAGAAAUCCAAGAAUGUGAUCUAUGGCAAGGAAACAUAUGUGGGUGAGGUGUAUGAGCCUCUGGUCGAUGAUCAAUGGCCACACAACCCCCAUUUUUGUCGAAAAUAGCCAUGAAUGACCAUUUUCAAUAAUACCGAAGGCUAACACCUACGGAUUUUUGACCAAGAAAUGUCUCCACCAGAAAUCCAAGAAUGUGAUCUAUGGCAAGGAAACAUAUGUGGGGUGAGGUGUAUGAGCCUCUGGUCGACGAUCAAUGGCCACACAACCCCCAUUUUGCCGAAAAUAGCCAUGAAUGACCAUUUUCAAUAAUACCGAAGGCUAACACUACGAGUUUUUAACCAAGAAAUGGUCUCCACCAGAAAUCCAAGAAUGUAAUCUAUGGCAAGGAAACAUAUGUGGGGUGAG
This 2354-nucleotide long non-coding RNA is filed under the name Zea mays. RNAcentral describes it as "long non-coding RNA (ZMAY_LNC005766)". Lineage: Eukaryota; Viridiplantae; Streptophyta; Magnoliopsida; Poales; Poaceae. The record is from RNAcentral.